This 477-nucleotide ribosomal RNA is filed under the name uncultured bacterium. RNAcentral's name for it is "partial 16S ribosomal RNA". It matches the Rfam family "Bacterial small subunit ribosomal RNA", at positions 29 to 507 of the family's 1533-position model. The record is from RNAcentral.
AUGAACGCUAGCGGCAGGCCUAACACAUGCAAGUCGCGGGAGAAGCCCUUUCGGGGGCCGAAACCGGCGCACGGGUGCGUCACGCGUAUGCAACCUACCUUUCACAGGGGGAUAGCCCGAAGAAAUUUGGAUUAAUACCCCAUAAUAUUAUUGGAUGGCAUCAUUUGAUAAUUAAAACUGCGGUGGUGAAAGAUGGGCAUGCGUCCUAUUAGCUAGUUGGAGUGGUAACGGCACCCCAAGGCUACGAUAGGUAGGGGUCCUGAGAGGGAGAUCCCCCACACUGGUACUGAGACAGGGACCAGACUCCUACGGGAGGCAGCAGUGAGGAAUAUUGGGCAAUGGUCGGAAGACUGAACCAGCCAUGCCGCGUGCAGGAAGAAUGCCUUAUGGGUUGUAAACUGCUUUUAUAUGGGAAGAAUAAGGCGUACGUGUACGUUGAUGACGGUACCAUAUGAAUAAGCAUCGGCUAACUCCGUG